GAUGAACGCUGGCGGCGUGCCUAAUACAUGCAAGUCGAGCGAACAGACGAGGAGCUUGCUCCUCUGACGUUAGCGGCGGACGGGUGAGUAACACGUGGAUAACCUACCUAUAAGACUGGGAUAACUUCGGGAAACCGGAGCUAAUACCGGAUAAUAUAUUGAACCGCAUGGUUCAAUAGUGAAAGACGGUUUUGCUGUCACUUAUAGAUGGAUCCGCGCCGCAUUAGUUAGUUGGUAAGGUAACGGCUUACCAAGGCAACGAUGCGUAGCCGACCUGAGAGGGUGAUCGGCCACACUGGAACUGAGAAACGGUCCAGACUCCUACGGAAAGCAGCAGUAGAGAAUCUUCCGCAAGGGGCGAAAGCGUGACGGAGCAACGCCGCGUGAGUGAUGAAGGUCUUCUGAUCGUAAAACUCUGUUAUUAGGGAAGAACAAAUGUGUAAGUAACUAUGCACGUCUUGACAGUACCUAAUCAGAAAGCCACGGCUAACUACGUG
Molecule: ribosomal RNA, 497 nt
Filed under: uncultured bacterium
Lineage: Bacteria
Description: partial 16S ribosomal RNA
Rfam family: Bacterial small subunit ribosomal RNA
Source: RNAcentral